UUAUGUCAACUCAUCUUUACCAGCAAAGUUGGAGACCUCAAAAUGCACCUGGCUUUUUUUUAUACCAAGGAAUCUGUCGUCUGUCACUAGGUGGCUAAAAUAUGUCCACCAGGUAGCGCAGUGUCUCCGUGAGUCCGUGACUCAUCAUCACUUCAGUUCAGCCUUCAGCGACGAGAUUUCCGCCAUUAAUACGAUAAGCGGACAUGUGUUAAUUCUCACGAUUCUCACUAUGCCGUCAUUGCCGUGUGCUUCUACAUUUUCCAACAAGUUAAAAAAAGGUAAUAAUGUAUCCUUUAACUUGCACUUAGCCAAAUCAUCUGAUCGCGGGCCUGAAACUUCUGUCAUGCUUCUGUGUAUUUUUCUGAAAUUUCGUCCAUUACUAGGAAUGGCUGUACGUCUCAUCCCAUAUAUGGAAACAAGUGGCAGAAAUAGAAGUGGUGAUCGACACGGGAGCCACAACCAAACAAGGCAGUGUAGGAUGACUGUGAUGGAUGAUGAAGCUGUUAACACGUGCACGUACAUCUCCACAUUACGACUAAUCAGACUGAAAAUGCAGUUGCUUUCUGCAAAGGUGAAUCUUUUCUUGUAUUUUGAGAACACAACACGUGGUCACAUUUAGCUAUUAAUCAAAGGCACUUGCUAUCGGAAUUAUCCACAAACGGUGAUUCUUUCAUAACAUUGGUUUAUAGUAACUUGGGACUAUUAGUUUUGCUAAGGAAUUGUCAGCCAGGUUAAGUUGAAGUUGUUUGCUGUUGCUGUCUUAUGCAGAACAUUUUUACUUGCUGCUUUCUGACUGCGCAAAUUGGGAAGCUGCCUUUUUUUCAAAUUUUGAAAACUUUUAGUUGUUUUUGAUUCAUAUCUGAUUUGUUUCAUAGGUUUUCCAUUGUGUUGGUGUUUGAUGGAAGACUGAAAUUGCCUGUGGUGUUGCAGUCCAAUGUGCUGAUGCCUGCCCUACCCUGGUUUAAUUAGUACCAAAAGAUCGAAUUUACGAUGGUAGUAAUUUUCCGUUUUUGUUUAGUGUACUCAUUAAGUGGGUUUUUUGUCGCUAUGUAAGUGAUUUGAGCAAUGUGUGAGUUUUAUUCUAUUUGUUUUUACGCGUCUUCUCAGCAGAAUUUAUUAUGUCUUAGGUGUACUUGGAAUGUGAAAUGAUUGAGACUUGCUGAAUAGUGACAAGUUCAUUUCUAAUUAAUGAGACAUUUAAAAUAGACAACAUAUUAAAUAACCUUGAUUAUUAAUAAAUUUUUUACCUUGAAAA
Daphnia pulicaria is the source of this 1255-nucleotide RNA transcript. RefSeq lists it as uncharacterized. The transcript is spliced from 5 exons. The record is from RefSeq and is a predicted model, not a curated record. Lineage: Eukaryota; Metazoa; Arthropoda; Branchiopoda; Diplostraca; Daphniidae.